RNAcentral lists this ribosomal RNA (376 nucleotides) under uncultured bacterium. Its description in RNAcentral is "bacterial SSU rRNA". It matches the Rfam family "Bacterial small subunit ribosomal RNA", at positions 524 to 898 of the family's 1533-position model. The record is from RNAcentral.
GACAUAGGUGGCAAGCGUUACUCGGAAUUACUAGGCGUAAAGCGCGUGUAGGCGGAUGCUUAAGUCUGUUGUUUAAUCUCCCGGCUCAACCGGGAAAGGUCAGCGGAUACUGGGCAUCUGGAGUGGGACAGAGGAAGCUGGAAUUCCCGGUGUAGCGGUGAAAUGCGUAGAUAUCGGGAAGAACACCGGCGGCGAAGGCGGGCUUCUGGGUCCUUACUGACGCUGAGACGCGAAAGCUAGGGGAGCAAACAGGAUUAGAUACCCUGGUAGUCCUAGCCGUAAACGAUGGAAACUAGGUGUGGGAGGUAUCGACCCCUUCCGUGCCGACGCUAACGCAUUAAGUUUCCCGCCUGGGGAGUACGGCCGCAAGGUUAAA